This is a non-coding RNA of Myodes glareolus (Bank vole), 406 nucleotides long. The record is from RefSeq and is a predicted model, not a curated record. NCBI's taxonomy places the organism in Eukaryota, Metazoa, Chordata, Mammalia, Rodentia, Cricetidae.
UGUAAAGCCAUCUUUCCAGAGACGAGGCCUGUUUCUAAGUAUGAAAAGCAGAGUCCAGACAUCUUGCUGGGAUUGAGAAUCUAUAAACUCUUUAUCAGUUUUCUAUACUUGGAAUGCAGCAAUUAUGAAGGACAAAGCUACUGUGCAAGCAGCCUGGAUAUUGGAAAGUGGUAACACGAAUGAAUUACAAUACCUGAACUUUCCACAUGAUAGAAUCAUUAAAAUUGCAACCCUGCAUCUAAUUACAAUGCUGUCUCUCCCUUCGAUAAUCCCAAGGUGUGUUUCUAUAUCUCUUAGUACAACAUAAAUUUAUAAACACAAAUGAGAAAAAGUUGUGGCGAUAGAUGAGUACGUAGGCACAGAAGACUACGUGACAGGCAACUCAGACUUCAACAGGGCAAUCAAG